GGGGCAGUAGCUCAGUGGUAGAGCUCCCGCUUAGCAUGCGGGGAGAAUUGGGGUUCGAUUCUAGGCUGCUUCC
This 73-nucleotide transfer RNA is filed under the name Toxocara canis (dog roundworm). It matches the Rfam family "tRNA". From Rfam's summary of the family: Transfer RNA (tRNA) molecules are approximately 80 nucleotides in length. Their secondary structure includes four short double-helical elements and three loops (D, anti-codon, and T loops). Lineage: Eukaryota; Metazoa; Nematoda; Chromadorea; Rhabditida; Toxocaridae. The record is from Rfam by way of RNAcentral.